GUCCUGUAUUAUUAUGUUGUCAUUUUAAUGUUAUAUUUAACAAUGCCAUCAAAGUGAGAGGUUUGGCAUGCCACAAAACCAGGUUCAACCCACCAUUUUUUUCUUUAAAAAUGUCCUGUACCAAGUCAGGAAAAUGGCCAUUGUUAUAUCAUAGUUCGUUUCUGUGUGUGUAACAUUUUUACGUUGUGUUUCCGUUGUGUCGUUUGUUUUCUCCUAUUUUUGAGUGCGAAUUCACAUUACUAUAAGACGUGUCACGGUACUUUUCUAUCCCAAAAUCAUGUAUUUGGUUUUGAUGUUAUAUUGGUUACUCAUCGGAUGUUGUCUAAUGCUUAGUCCGUUGCUGUGUGUGUUACAUUUUAAUGUUGUGUCGUUGUUCCCCUCUAAUAUUUAAUGCGUUUCCCUCAGUUUUAGUUUGUUACCCCGAUUUUGUUUUGUUGUCCAUAGAUUUAUGAGUUUUGAACAGCGGUAUACUACUGUUGCCUUUAUUUAUAUAGAGGAAUACACCUUAUUGAAAAAAUGGUUUAAAGGCAUGUGAUACAUCUAGACCGAAUUCUUCUGUCCCUAUAAUGCAUAUAUUUCCUAAUUUACAUUUGCUUUUUAUUGAUUUUGCUAUUUUUUUUUUUUUUU
RNAcentral lists this long non-coding RNA (627 nucleotides) under Mytilus galloprovincialis (Mediterranean mussel). The record is from RNAcentral. Lineage: Eukaryota; Metazoa; Mollusca; Bivalvia; Mytilida; Mytilidae.